This 263-nucleotide unclassified non-coding RNA is filed under the name plant metagenome. RNAcentral describes it as "partial contains small subunit ribosomal RNA, internal transcribed spacer 1, and 5.8S ribosomal RNA". The record is from RNAcentral.
UUUCCGUAGGCGAACCUGCGGAAGGAUCAUUAUUGUAUAACCGAGGUGCGAGGGCUGUCGCUGACCCGAAAGGUCGUGCACGCCCGAGUGCCCUCACACACAUCCAUCUCACCCCUAAGUGCACCACCGCGUGGGUCCCCCUUUGGCUUGUUCGGAGGGGGGCUUACGUUUUCACACAAACUUUGUAUGCAGUGUAGAAUGUAUUUUUUGUUUUUGCGAUCACGCAAUCAAUACAACUUUCAACAACGGAUCUCUUGGCUCUC